GCCUGUUUGUUGAAGAUCAUCCAGCAGCUAAUGAUUCUGUAUCAGGUUCUAAAUUUGUAAAGGAUUUUGACACUAGACCUAUUGCUGUAAUAUACCGAAGCAUCCACGGCGAGCUUAAGAAAAUCGAUGGCAAGGACGUGAGAGUUGACGAUCAUGAGAUGAAAGCAGAGAAAUCUUUUGUUGAGCGUAGCAAGCCUGGUAUGGAGAUUCCCACAUAGACUGCUACAACUAGGGAUCAUAAACAGAAGAUCAUAUAUUAAUAUUAUAGAAAUAUGAGUAGAAAAACACAUGAAUUCGAAAAGGGUUCAUGUGUUUGUAGAAUAUUAAUUAAGCAGUACCGUGUUUGGAGAGAUUAAUU
RNAcentral lists this unclassified non-coding RNA (358 nucleotides) under Hevea brasiliensis (rubber tree). The record is from RNAcentral. Lineage: Eukaryota; Viridiplantae; Streptophyta; Magnoliopsida; Malpighiales; Euphorbiaceae.